UACGAACUGUGCAAACGUUAUUCGGAUUCACUGGGCUUAAAGGGUGCGUAGGCGGCCAUGUAAGUAGGGUGUGAAAUCCCCCGGCUUAACCGGGGAACUGCGCCCUAAACUGUGUGGCUUGAGUGAGAUAGGGGUGUGUGGAACUUCCGGUGGAGCGGUGAAAUGUGUUGAUAUCGGAAGGAACGCCGGUGGCGAAAGCGACACACUGGGUCUCAACUGACGCUGAGGCACGAAAGCCAGGGGAGCGAACGGG
Molecule: ribosomal RNA, 253 nt
Filed under: uncultured bacterium
Lineage: Bacteria
Also listed under: 1 other name
Description: partial 16S ribosomal RNA
Rfam family: Bacterial small subunit ribosomal RNA
Source: RNAcentral